This 253-nucleotide ribosomal RNA is filed under the name uncultured bacterium. Its description in RNAcentral is "partial 16S ribosomal RNA". It matches the Rfam family "Bacterial small subunit ribosomal RNA", at positions 524 to 776 of the family's 1533-position model. The record is from RNAcentral.
UACGUAGGGUGCAAGCGUUGUCCGGAAUUAUUGGGCGUAAAGAGCUCGUAGGCGGUUUGUUGCGUCGGCUGUGAAAUCCCGAGGCUCAACCUCGGGUCUGCAGUCGAUACGAGCAAACUAGAGUGUUGCAGGGGAGACUGGAAUUCCUGGUGUAGCGGUGAAAUGCGCAGAUAUCAGGAGGAACACCGGUGGCGAAGGCGGGUCUCUGGGCCGAUAUUGACGCUGAGGAGCGGAAGCGUGGGGAGCGAACAGG